This 254-nucleotide ribosomal RNA is filed under the name uncultured bacterium. RNAcentral's name for it is "partial 16S ribosomal RNA". It matches the Rfam family "Bacterial small subunit ribosomal RNA", at positions 524 to 777 of the family's 1533-position model. The record is from RNAcentral.
UACGAAGGGGGCUAGCGUUGCUCGGAAUCACUGGGCGUAAAGGGUGCGUAGGCGGGUCUUUAAGUCAGAGGUGAAAUCCUGGAGCUCAACUCCAGAACUGCCUUUGAUACUGAGGAUCUUGAGUUCGGGAGAGGUGAGUGGAACUGCGAGUGUAGAGGUGAAAUUCGUAGAUAUUCGCAAGAACACCAGUGGCGAAGGCGGCUCACUGGCCCGGUACUGACGCUGAGGCACGAAAGCGUGGGGAGCAAACAGGG